This is a long non-coding RNA of Hordeum vulgare subsp. vulgare (domesticated barley), 1010 nucleotides long. RefSeq lists it as uncharacterized. The record is from RefSeq and is a predicted model, not a curated record. Lineage: Eukaryota; Viridiplantae; Streptophyta; Magnoliopsida; Poales; Poaceae. The transcript has 3 exons.
CAACUCACUCGCAGCCCGCAUUGUCUCUUCCUCUCACGACCGGGGACGCGCUCGCGCGACCAGGCAGACGAGUGUCUGCCUUCCUCCCCGUUCCCCAACGCCGUCCAUGCCCACUACGACCGCCCGAAACCUAAACACCGCCGCCAGGCUGCCCGACGCCCGCCGUCCAGCGCGUAGCCCCCGCCCUCUGUCCUACGCCCCUCCCACGGUCUCGCCUUGUCAGCUUCCCCGAGUGGUCGGCGCGGGCCUAAAGUAGCUGCCCUUCCCGCCGGCGGUCGGCACCAUGUCGGCGAGGGCACGAGGCGGCGACCCCUCCCCGUCUCCCCUUUGUCCUCCCCCUGCCCAGCGGCCAGCGCGAGGCUCGGCCCCUUUCCUCAACCAUGCCCUUCCUUUGAUGAUGAUUUUGUUUAUACAUGCGUUGUUUUUGUUUAUAGAUGUCACUGUUUCACCUUGUUUGUUUAUUUGUUCGAUGUUGCAGAGCAACCGAUUUUGACAUUGAGAAAUAUUUGUUUCUCUAAAAUUUUGCAGGAAAGCAAGAUGAGUAAAAUAAGAAAAUGUAUUUGUUAGUAUUGAAGAAUCAAAGAUACUCGAGUGAUUUCAAGGUUGUCGCACACAUAAAGGCUUUUUGCCUCGUCCUAUAUGAUUGGCUUCUUCUGUUAUUGAAGAUGUAGUCAUGGGAGGCUCAGAUCAACCAAUCCUUUGAUCUGGUGAUGUAAAAAUGCUUGUUAAGCAGAGGCAAUGGAGGAAGCAAGGGCAUCUACAGAGAUCAACAUCCGGCGUCAAGAGUUCAAGGAGGCCCGGAUCAUUCAUGAAGGCAGAACGUCCAAUAUGAAGGCUCACAAUUUUUGUAAAAAGUGUUUUAUCUUUAGCUCAUGGUCGAUAUAAUUGGUUGCUCCAGCCGAAUGACACUACUGUUGUAUCAUAUAUUAUCAUGCAAGUUCAGGUUUCCCCUAAAAAAAGACCAACCUGUCUUGAAACCGACAUCACCAAAUAAAUUUCAAGUUCUCACA